This 253-nucleotide ribosomal RNA is filed under the name uncultured bacterium. Its description in RNAcentral is "partial 16S ribosomal RNA". It matches the Rfam family "Bacterial small subunit ribosomal RNA", at positions 524 to 776 of the family's 1533-position model. The record is from RNAcentral.
UACGGAGGGAGCUAGCGUUGUUCGGAAUUACUGGGCGUAAAGCGCGCGUAGGCGGCUUUGUAAGUUAGAGGUGAAAGCCCGGGGCUCAACCCCGGAACUGCCUUUAAGACUGCAUCGCUUGAAUCCGGGAGAGGUGAGUGGAAUUCCGAGUGUAGAGGUGAAAUUCGUAGAUAUUCGGAAGAACACCAGUGGCGAAGGCGGCUCACUGGACCGGCAUUGACGCUGAGGUGCGAAAGCGUGGGGAUCAAACAGG